CAGCAGCCGCGGGAAUACGUAGGGUGCAAGCGUUAAUCGGAAUUACUGGGCGUAAAGCGUGCGCAGGCGGUUAUAUAAGACAGAUGUGAAAUCCCCGGGCUCAACCUGGGAACUGCAUUUGUGACUGUAUAGCUAGAGUACGGCAGAGGGGGAUGGAAUUCCGCGUGUAGCAGUGAAAUGCGUAGAUAUGCGGAGGAACACCGAUGGCGAAGGCAAUCCCCUGGGCCUGUACUGACGCUCAUGCACGAAAGCGUGGGGAGCAAACAGGAUUAGAGACCCCUGUAGUCCCUGUUUCUUAUAC
This 301-nucleotide ribosomal RNA is filed under the name uncultured bacterium. Its description in RNAcentral is "partial 16S ribosomal RNA". It matches the Rfam family "Bacterial small subunit ribosomal RNA", at positions 509 to 807 of the family's 1533-position model. The record is from RNAcentral.